UGGGGAAUAUUGCGCAAUGGGCGAAAGCCUGACGCAGCCACGCCGCGUGAGCGAUGAAGGCCUUCGGGUCGUAAAGCUCUGUGGGGAGAGAAGAAGAAAGCCCGUGAAGAGCGGGCCUUGACGGUAUCUCCUUAGCAAGCACCGGCUAACUCCGUGCCAGCAGCCGCGGUAAUACGGAGGGUGCAAACGUUGCUCGGAAUCAUUGGGCGUAAAGCGCACGUAGGCGGCGAAGCAAGUCGGGUGUGAAAGCCCUGGGCUCAACCCAGGAAGUGCAUUCGAAACUAUUGCGCUGGAAUCUCGGAGGGGGUCAGAGAAUUCCCGGUGUAGAGGUGAAAUUCGUAGAUAUCGGGAGGAAUACCAGUGGCGAAGGAGACUCGCUGGACUGAUACUGACGCUGAGGUGCGAAAGCGUGGGGAGCAAACA
RNAcentral lists this ribosomal RNA (423 nucleotides) under uncultured bacterium. RNAcentral describes it as "bacterial SSU rRNA". It matches the Rfam family "Bacterial small subunit ribosomal RNA", at positions 355 to 774 of the family's 1533-position model. The record is from RNAcentral.